GUUCUUUUAUGCUUAGAAUAAGGUAUCUUUGUAUUGGUUGAUUUAUUAAUUGAUGCAAUCUUGUGUACCAAGCUUUUGGGACCCUCUGGGACCUCCUCAUGCUUCCUUCAGCUCUUUCAUAAGUUCUCUUCCUAUCCUCAUUGUGGUUCUAGCUCUAGGCUGUCCUUGCCCGUACCUUCUCCUUCUCAGUUGAGGUUCCUGGCCCAGACUUUGGAGCAGUAGUUCAUCUCACCUCCCCAUUUCUCUGAGGACCUGGAGACAAGAAGCCUAUUGACUAUUCUUAUAUCAAAGGACAAAGGUUCUAGGAUCUCACGGAGUUCUUAACCUUUGUUCUAGACCAGCACUGUCCAAUAAGUCUUUCUGUGCUGAUGGAAAUGUUCUUAUCUCUGCUGUCCAAUAUGGUAACCACUAGACACAUGUGGCCACUGAGCACUUGAAAUGAGGCUAGUACAGCUGAGGAAUUGAAUUUUAAGAUUUUAAUUAAAUUUAGAAGGAUAUGGUAGCACACACCAGUAAUCCCAGUGACUCAGGAAGCUGAGGCAGGAGGAUCACAAGUUUGAGGCCAGCCUGGGCAACUUAGUAAGACCCUGUCUCAAAGUGAAAAAUAAAAAGUGCUGGGAAUGAUGUUUAGUGGUAGAGUGCCCCUCCAUUCAAUCCCCAGUACCAAUAAUAAUUCAACUUAAAUAGCCAUUCAUGGAUGGUGUAAACCAUAAUGGACAGUGUAGGACAAGACUUUCAGGAUUUGAUAGCCUGGUGGGUAAUGUCAGGACAAUCUAAGAUCAGGUCUGGAAAGAAACACUGGUUGUGUGGGGACACAAAGAACUCCUCCACUUGGGGGUGGGAGUAGGGUCAAGGAAGGUUUUCAGGAACUGCCCCUUUAGCUAAGUUUGAAGACUGAGAAGGAAUUGGCAUGCUAAAGAAGGUCAUUCACUAGAGGGGGCAGCACGUGCAAGGGCCCAGAGGUGUGAGAAAAUACAAGUAUUAGUGGCAUGGCAAGAAAGGGGAGAGUGCAGCUCAGGUGGUAGGCGCAGCAUACAAUGAAGCAUGGAGGCAGAUAGGCCUCCUCUGCUAUGUUGCCAACAGGUUUUCCAACUGGCUUCAGCAGCAGCUAAAGAAAUAUCAGGUGAUAGUUGGACUAUAUAGUAUUUCCACUAUAAAAUUACUAUUUUCCCCUUAUAAUGAAUAUUUUGUGGAGAGAUGCAUUGAGAAUAUGUAAAUAUCCUAUUAUUCCUCAAACUUUUACCCACCAGUUUUAACAUUCACUGAUGAUUCUCCACUGAAACAAUUACUAUGGCUGAGGUUGCCAAAUGGUGAUUUUCAAAUGCCAUCAUUCUUUUCAUGUGUAUUUGUUGGCUUUCCACUAUAAGGUACAACUUUGCCUCCUCCCACAUUUAUUUAUAUCCUCAUGGACUCAUGGCUGUUUUACUCUAUGGGUUAUAUAUAACCCAUUAACAUCAUUCUUUAUUUUAAUGUUCAGAAUGCCCCAGAUCUGGCCAGCAGGAAGCCCUUCAAGUUGGCUCCUGUGUCCUUUGGCAUGUCUCCAUCUUUCUUUGAGCACUUGCCUUUUUUCUGGCACCAAGAGAUGCUUCAGACCUAUCUUAUGUUUUCCCUGCCCCAACUCUGGAAGCAGUCAUUGUGUCCAAGGAGUCCUGAUUCUUUCUAGUAGAGAAUGGCAUUUAGAAAUCAAAGAUUUGGGCAGUAGGUGUUAUAGAAUUUUCUCUAUUACUUUGAAAAAGUUUGAGCAUCCAUUGGUGAUUUUUUUAACCCCAUCAUUCCUUCGGUAUUUAUUAUUAAACAUUCUACUUUUAAAAAG
Molecule: long non-coding RNA, 1813 nt
Filed under: Marmota monax (woodchuck)
Lineage: Eukaryota; Metazoa; Chordata; Mammalia; Rodentia; Sciuridae
Source: RNAcentral